AACCGGAGCUAAUACGAUAAUAUUUGAACCGCAUGGUUCAAAAGUGAAAGACGGUCUUGCUGUCACUUAUAGAUGGAUCCGCGCUGCAUUAGCUAGUUGGUAAGGUAACGGCUUACCAAGGCAACGAUGCAUAGCCGACCUGAGAGGGUGAUCGGCCACACUGGAACUGAGACACGGUCCAGACUCCUACGGGAGGCAGCAGGC
RNAcentral lists this ribosomal RNA (204 nucleotides) under uncultured Staphylococcus sp. RNAcentral's name for it is "partial 16S ribosomal RNA". It matches the Rfam family "Bacterial small subunit ribosomal RNA", at positions 155 to 354 of the family's 1533-position model. Lineage: Bacteria; Bacillati; Bacillota; Bacilli; Caryophanales; Staphylococcaceae. The record is from RNAcentral.